Molecule: ribosomal RNA, 1289 nt
Filed under: uncultured bacterium
Lineage: Bacteria
Description: partial 16S ribosomal RNA
Rfam family: Bacterial small subunit ribosomal RNA
Source: RNAcentral
GAACGGAGCGCCGGACACGGACUAUUUCGGUAGGAAGCGUGCGGAGGCUUAGUGGCGGACGGGUGAGUAACGCGUGGAUAACCUGCCGCAUACCGGGGGAUAACAGCUGGAAACAGCUGCUAAUACCGCAUAUGCCCGCAGUGCCGCAUGGCACAGCGGGGAAAACUCCGGUGGUAUGCGAUGGGUCCGCGUCUGAUUAGGCAGUUGGCGGGGUAACGGCCCACCAAACCGACGAUCAGUAGCCGGCCUGAGAGGGCGGACGGCCACACUGGGACUGAGACACGGCCCAGACUCCUGCGGGAGGCAGCAGUGGGGAAUAUUGCACAAUGGGGGAAACCCUGAUGCGGGGGGGGGGAAAAAAAAAAUANNNNNUNUCCCUCCCCCACACUUCUAUCAUCAGAAAAUAAAACAUACUAUACCUAACUAAUAAGCCCCUACUAACUACUUACCAACAUCCACAAUAAUACAUAAAAAUCAAACAUUAUCCAAAUUUACUUUUUUUAAAAUAAAUACAUACACCCAUACCAAACCCAAUAUAAAAAACACCAACAUAACCCCUCCACUACACUCCCAACUCUCACACUUUAUUCCCAUAACCCUAACCCCAAUUCCUNNUNUANCCNUNAAAUGGGUAGUUUUUGAGAGGAACACCGGCGGCGAAGGCGGCUUACGGACGGCAACNGACGNNGAGGCCCGAAAGCGUGGGGGGCCCUUGACGUUAGAUACCNNNNNAGUCCACGCAGUAAGGGACCCCUAUCGGUGUCGGAUAUCAAGGAUAUCCGGUUGCCGAAGCAAACGCAUUAAGUAUACCACCUGGGGAGUACGUUCGCAAGAAUGAAACUCAAAGGAAUUGACGGGGACCCGCACAAGCGGUGGAGCAUGUGGUUUAAUUCGAAGCAACGCGAAGAACCUUACCAGGCCUUGACAUCCCGAUGGCGUAGGCGUAACGGCUUAUUCCCCUCGGGGCAUCAGAGACAGGUGGUGCAUGGUUGUCGUCAGCUCGUGUCGUGAGAUGUUGGGUUAAGUCCCGCAACGAGCGCAACCCUUAUUCCCAGUAGCCAGCAUUUUGGAUGGGCACUCUGGGGAGACUGCCGGGGAAGACCCGGAGGAAGGCGGGGAUGACGUCAAAUCAUCAUGCCCCUUAUGGCCUGGGCUACACACGUGCUACAAUGGCGCAUACAAAGGGAGGCAAAGGAGCGAUCUGAAGCAAAUCCCAGAAAAGGCGCCCCAGUUCGGAUUGCAGCCUGCAACUCGGCUGCAUGAAGCUGGAAUCGCUAGUAAUCGCGGAU